AGAAUUUAGCAGAGAUGCUUUAGUGCCUUCGGGAACUCUGAGACAGGUGCUGCAUGGCUGUCGUCAGCUCGUGUUGUGAAAUGUUGGUUAAGUCCCGCAACGAGCGCAACCCUUAUCCUUUGUUGCCAGCACGUAAUGGUGGGAACUCAAAGGAGACUGCCGGUGAUAAACCGGAGGAAGGUGGGGAUGACGUCAAGUCAUCAUGGCCCUUACGAGUAGGGCUACACACGUGCUACAAUGGCGCAUACAAAGAGAAGCGACCUCGCGAGAGCAAGCGGACCUCAUAAAGUGCGUCGUAGUCCGGAUUGGAGUCUGCAACUCGACUCCAUGAAGUCGGAAUCGCUAGUAAUCGUAAAUCAGAAUGUUACGGUGAAUACGUUCCCGGGCCUUGUACACACCGCCCGUCACACCAUGGGAGUGGGUUGCAAAAGAAGUAGAUAGCUUAACCUUCGGGAGGGCGUUUACCACUUUGUGAUUCAUGACUGGGGUGAAGUCGUAACAAGGUAGGCGUAGUGCU
Molecule: ribosomal RNA, 517 nt
Filed under: uncultured bacterium
Lineage: Bacteria
Description: bacterial SSU rRNA
Rfam family: Bacterial small subunit ribosomal RNA
Source: RNAcentral